This 83-nucleotide transfer RNA is filed under the name Verrucomicrobiota bacterium. RNAcentral's name for it is "tRNA-Leu". It matches the Rfam family "tRNA". From Rfam's summary of the family: Transfer RNA (tRNA) molecules are approximately 80 nucleotides in length. The record is from RNAcentral. Lineage: Bacteria; Pseudomonadati; Verrucomicrobiota.
GCCCGGGUGGCGAAAUGGCAGACGCAAGGGACUUAAAAUCCCUUGUCCGAAAGGACGUGCGGGUUCGAGCCCCGCCCCGGGUA